UGCUGUCCAGGUGCAGUGAGGGCUGUGGCCGGGACCAGGAUCUCAGCUUCCCUGUUCUCUAUCAGGGCUGAUGCUGGGAACUGAGAGCCUUCUUUUGUUUUCCCUCCCACCUCUGGCUGCCUCUCCCUCCCUGCAAAGGUCAGGGCAGUGCCAAGGACAGAAGAGAGGGUAGACCCAGCCUUGGCCCUGCUAGGCUGGGCAGCCUGGGAGGUAGGGCCAGCGGGGGACACAGCCUGGCAGGUGGAUACUGACAGGAGCCCAGCUGGGAGGCCGUCCUGCAGGGCUGGCGAGCUCUGGCACUCCCGGACCCAGAACCGACUUGGUCCCUUACAGCCAUGGUGGCUGUACUAACCACACUCGACUCCACCUUUGCACUAUGAAAAGCAAACAAGCAGACCGAAGAACUGUUUGCAUUUGCCCCAGAUGCUCCCUGGCUGCAGGAAGAGGUCCACAGGGAGCAUGCAGGGAGAGGGAAAGGGAGACAGCCUUCUGCAGGGAGGGCAGGCUGGCUGCCUGGGCCCGGGGAGGGAGGGAGAGAGGGCUCCUCCAGCCCAGCAGAGGCCUGCGGAGGGGCCCUUGUGAGCACAGUGCAUGAAGCCUGAAGAGGUGAUGGUGCUGGAUUCCCCAAUGCCGGGCAUAUUCUGCAUUUCAAGCAGAAUAAUAAUAAGUAGUCUGUUGGCUAUGAGGUGGCAGGAGCUGUUCCUUAGAAGAGAAAGACGGAGACAGAAAGAGAAGCAGACACACAGAGAGACAGAGAUGGAGACAGAAGGAUGCCCAGAGGAAUGGAGAGACAGAGAGAGACACACACAUACAGAUAGGCAAAGGCAUAAAGAGGCCCCCGGCACCCCAGGGUUGUGUUGUAGGGUGGCUUUUUUGUUGUGAAGGCUCACAGCCUAUUUGGCACGGUUGGCCGGCCUUGGCCUCCCGCCGCCAUCAUCCCUGCCCCAGGGAAGGCUGCCUGCUGGCUUCCUCCCACCCCCUUGCCACUGGCAGCAAAACUAAGCAGGGUUAUGACAUCAGCGACUUUUCCCCUUCUCAGCCCCGGGGGAGAUUGGCCAGGUGGGAAAGCAGCAGGAACCUUUUCCAACACUAAUAAACGAUGAACUCAGGUAGCCAGCCCUGGUAUUAGAAACCGGGGGAGACUCUUCAUGGGUUUCACUCAGCCUGAAAGAGAUCCACGUAUUUCCAAGAGCCAAGUCCCAGUCCCUUUUCAGGGCAGCCGGCCAAGCUGGGAGACUGGGAGCUGGAAAUAUGUCCCCUGAAAUACAGGUUUGGUGACUCUGACCGUGAAUGGCCCUGAUUCACAGGGAGGGCUGCUGCUCCUUUGCCUGUUUGCCAACAUUUCAGCACCUGCUGAAAAAUAGAAAGAAGCACCCAGACAGGAGCUCGGGCUGUAUAGGCAGGGAACAAAUGAGACGUUUUCCUACCGUGUAAAAAGCCCACGUGUUCCCGUAGGCAGAGCUUGGCACAAUGUCACCAACCCCUCUUCUUCCUUUCUUUUUUCCAAAUAACCUCCUUUAAGGGAGAGCGCACACCAGUGCUUCGGAGGUAUGUCUCAUUGCGGACACUUUUGUUCAUCGUCAUUGUCCGUCGUCGGGUGUUCCAGCAGCCACCGGCUUCUCAGGAGGAAGAGUCAGUUGUGCACUAAGCGGCAGCACAAAGGGACCGGGCCAAGUGCGCAGGGUGCUGCGGGUGGACGGGGUGCUGCGGGUUGACGGGGUGCCGCUGUGCCGCUGUGCCCCUGAAGCCUUCCGGAGCCUCGGCCUGGGAACCCAGGCAGGGGUGGGGCCCCAGCCCACCGGGCUUUCUGCCUUGCUGACCUCCAAAGACAGACUCACUCAGGUCACUGAGAACCUUCCUCCUGCGUGUGCCGCUUGCUCCUCGACAAGCCUAUUUGUGCCUUGUUGCUGGAAAUGUACCUUUUUUCUCUUCUGACCUGUCCCUGACACCCCUGGCUUAUCUAGCCUGAAGAUAGGCUAUCAAAAUGGCAAUAGUCAGAUGAAAAGCAAGGGAAAAUAAGCCCUUUCCUUUAAGGAAGUAAGACAGAUUCUGGAACUGAAGAAAUUUCGACUCUUCUGCCAGCAUCGUUCCCCCCGCCCCGGGUGUGCUUCUGAGAGGGUCAGAGGUGUCACAACGCUGGACCCUGGGACUGGCCGAGGCAAAACACAGCUGGAGAUUUCUUUUUCUUUUCUUUCUUUUUUUUUUUUUUAAGAUGGAAUCUCACUCUUGUUGCCCAGGCUGGAGUGCAGCGAUGUGAUAUCGGCUCACUGCAACUUCUGCCUCCCAGGUUCAAACAAUUCUCCAGCCUCAGCCUCCUGAAUAAAGUUUGCUGACCCUGGAGAGGAAGUCCUGACCCAUGGCUGGCAGAUGGAAGCCUCAGACAUGAAGAUUUCUCAAAGGCACCUGCUGCUGAGAGUGAUUAAUAUACUUUUGCAGCUGAAGCCUGAUGAUGGCUGGAGGAUAAAGGACAUCACCCAGAUGACAUUUUGCCUCCAAAGGUCUGGGGACCAACUGUGGAAGAACUGCAGGGAUAUGAUGUUAGCAUGUUCUUGUAUCUGGACAGGAUGAGAACUGUCUUAUAACGUAAGUGCAGCCCCCGCAUCUGAGGGCAUGUUUCCUGUGUGUUUAGGCACUUCUAAAGCAGGGAGCACCUUCAUGGGCACUGGCCUUCCCAGAAACAGUGUUGGACCUGUGUUGAUGUCCUGGAGGGUGGGGACCUAGAAAAAGUCCUUAGCCUUCCUGUAAGGCACAAUUCUUCUCCCCUGCAGAGCCUUAAAUCCUCAAGCCAAGUAGUAAGCACUCUGCUCCAGUCUGUGGCUUCAGACACACACAAGACCUGGAGCAAAAUCAAAUAGAAUGUAUCACCACCACUGAGCCCCAGGACCCCCCAGAUGCUUCUGAACAUCAGAGGAGAAGCAGCUCUCGGAGAUCAGGGUGAAUGCAGUGUUAGGGUGCGGCAUUGCCUCUGGGUCCCUGCUUUGGUUUAAUUAAACUAAGUUUGGUGGUAAAUUGGUUCCCAAAUGUUCAUUGGUGGAUGGGCGGCAUCGGAAUUGUCUGAUCAUCUUUUGAAAAACACAUAUGCAAAACUCAUACGCAUGCAUGUCUUCCUCUGAGAGUUUGAUUUUCAGCAGACUUGGGGUGGAUUCCUACUUUUAAGAACUCCUCAUGCCCAUCCUAAGUGAUUGUGACUCCCAGAAAGUGAACGCUGACAAAUUGAACCUGACAUUUACUUAUGAAAUAAAUGGAUGUUUAUUUCACAGUC
Molecule: non-coding RNA, 3262 nt
Organism: Callithrix jacchus (white-tufted-ear marmoset)
Lineage: Eukaryota; Metazoa; Chordata; Mammalia; Primates; Cebidae
Source: RefSeq, a predicted model, not a curated record